RNAcentral lists this ribosomal RNA (300 nucleotides) under uncultured Bartonella sp. Its description in RNAcentral is "bacterial SSU rRNA". It matches the Rfam family "Bacterial small subunit ribosomal RNA", at positions 496 to 795 of the family's 1533-position model. The record is from RNAcentral. Lineage: Bacteria; Pseudomonadati; Pseudomonadota; Alphaproteobacteria; Hyphomicrobiales; Bartonellaceae.
GUUAGUCGCGGUCGAGAGGGGGUGGCAAUACGAGGGGUGCGAGGGUUAAGCGGGAAUACUGGGGGUAAUGCUGGCGCAGGCGGUUUGUUAAGCUAGAUGAGAAAGCCCUGGGCGCAACCUAGGAAUAUCAUUUCGAACUUGCGAACUAGAGUCUUGUAGAGGGGGGUAGAAUUCCAGGUGUAGCGGUGAAAUGCGUAGAGAUCUGGAGGAAUACCGGUUGCGAAGGCGGCCCCCUGGACAAAGACUGACGCUCAUGCACGAAAGCGUGGGGAGCAAACAGGAUUAGAUACCCGAGUAGUC